GAUGAACGCUGGCGGCGUGCCUAAUACAUGCAAGUCGAGCGAACUGACGAGGAGCUUGCUCCUCUGACGUUAGCGGCGGACGGGUGAGUAACACGUGGAUAACCUACCUAUAAGACUGGGAUAACUUCGGGAAACCGGAGCUAAUACCGGAUAAUAUAUUGAACCGCAUGGUUCAAUAGUGAAAGACGGUUUUGCCGUCACUUAUAGAUGGAUCCGCGCCGCAUUAGCUAGUUGGUAAGGUAACGGCUUACCAAGGCAACGAUGCGUAGCCGACCUGAGAGGGUGAUCGGCCACACUGGAACUGAGACACGGUCCAGACUCCUACGGGAGGCAGCAGUAGGGAAUCUUCCGCAAUGGGCGAAAGCCUGACGGAGCAACGCCGCGUGAGUGAUGAAGGUCUUCGGAUCGUAAAACUCUGUUAUUAGGGAAGAACAAAUGUGUAAGUAACUAUGCACGUCUUGACGGUACCUAAUCAGAAAGCCACGGCUAACUACGUG
RNAcentral lists this ribosomal RNA (497 nucleotides) under uncultured bacterium. Its description in RNAcentral is "partial 16S ribosomal RNA". It matches the Rfam family "Bacterial small subunit ribosomal RNA", at positions 28 to 507 of the family's 1533-position model. The record is from RNAcentral.